GUUCCGGUAGCUCAAUUGGCAGAGCGGCUGGCUGAAGCCCAGCAGGAGCAGGUUCGAAUCCUGCCCGUUUCACCA
This 75-nucleotide transfer RNA is filed under the name Deinococcus koreensis. Its description in RNAcentral is "tRNA-Phe". It matches the Rfam family "tRNA". From Rfam's summary of the family: Transfer RNA (tRNA) molecules are approximately 80 nucleotides in length. Their secondary structure includes four short double-helical elements and three loops (D, anti-codon, and T loops). Lineage: Bacteria; Thermotogati; Deinococcota; Deinococci; Deinococcales; Deinococcaceae. The record is from RNAcentral.